AAAGCCUGUAAUAAGAAGAGGCCCUAGUGGUGUUUAUCUCUCUCUCCAUGUGUGCUUCCAUGCUGUAAUUGCUGAUUGCUGUUUGUGUGAAGUCUGACUAAAGUACAUCAACAUGAAGAAAAAAAGUUGCUGUUUUACACAGAGAGCAGUGCAACUAAAGAGGAAGAGAGAAGAACAAUAAAUAAGGAAGCUGAUCUUCAGAUACCUUACAGAUUCUGAGCUAGGAACAUCAAAACUGUCUGCCCCAGAUUUCUGUUUAUGUGAAAUGACAAAAAUUUUUUUUUGGUAUGAGAUGAAAAUGAAAGAAAUUGUGCUAUAUUUGGUCAUUCCAGGAAGUGCUGAAGAAUUUUUUUUUUAAAAAAAGCCUUUUUGUAGAACUCCCCCAUUAGCUGUGAUGAGAUUUUUAAAGGACAAAGCUUAUAGAGAGGCCUUUACCCCCCCGCCCCGAUCGAUUUGAAAAACUAAAUGUAAUUCUCAUCCACACUUAUGUGGUGUGGCAAAGUUUUAUUUUGUCAAGAACAGAAGAAAGUCAGAAAUUGGGACAAAGAACUGCUCAGACAAAGGAGGCUUCUAGAAUGAAAAACUUUUCUUCCUUCCAUCCUUUCCUAUGUCUGAAGAGCUUUUUCUUUUAAAAGUGUGUUGUCCAUUUUGUGAAAUUUGCUUCUAAACGGCUUAUGAGGCCCAUUUCUAGUAAAAGCUUGGAAAACAAUUUUACUUGAAACAACUACAAUGUUUUUAUUCAAAUUUAGUAAAUUCUGCUUUGUU
Pantherophis guttatus is the source of this 765-nucleotide non-coding RNA. The record is from RefSeq and is a predicted model, not a curated record. NCBI's taxonomy places the organism in Eukaryota, Metazoa, Chordata, Lepidosauria, Squamata, Colubridae.